UAUAGAGUAGUAUAAUAUGGUGUACAUAGGAUUUUGAGGCCUGAGGUGGAAGCGUAAGUCUUUCUUUUAUAG
Molecule: transfer RNA, 72 nt
Filed under: Puncturella cf. parvinobilis
Lineage: Eukaryota; Metazoa; Mollusca; Gastropoda; Lepetellida; Fissurellidae
Description: tRNA-Gln
Rfam family: tRNA
About the family: Transfer RNA (tRNA) molecules are approximately 80 nucleotides in length. Their secondary structure includes four short double-helical elements and three loops (D, anti-codon, and T loops).
Source: RNAcentral